AACGCACAUUGCGCCCUCUGGUAUUCCAGAGGGCAUGCCUGUUUGAGCGUCAUUUCUCUCUCAAACCUUCGGGUUUGGUAUUGAGUGAUACUCUUAGUCGAACUAGGCGUUUGCUUGAAAUGUAUUGGCAUGAGUGGUACUGGAUAGUGCUAUAUGACUUUCAAUGUAUUAGGUUUAUCCAACUCGUUGAAUAGUUUAAUGGUAUAUUUCUCGGUAUUCUAGGCUCGGCCUUACAAUAUAACAAACAAGUUUGACCUCAAAUCAGGUAGGAUUACCCGCUGAACUUAA
This 288-nucleotide unclassified non-coding RNA is filed under the name Culicinomyces sp. Its description in RNAcentral is "partial contains 5.8S ribosomal RNA, internal transcribed spacer 2, and large subunit ribosomal RNA". The stretch from base 1 to 52 matches the Rfam family "5.8S ribosomal RNA", at positions 103 to 154 of the family's 154-position model. RNAcentral also lists the same sequence under 1 other name. Lineage: Eukaryota; Fungi; Ascomycota; Sordariomycetes; Hypocreales; Clavicipitaceae. The record is from RNAcentral.